AUUGAACGCUGGCGGCAUGCUUUACACAUGCAAGUCGAACGGUAACAGGGUGCUUGCACCGCUGACGAGUGGCGAACGGGUGAGUAAUGCAUCGGAACGUACCCAGUCGUGGGGGGAUAACGUAGCGAAAGUUACGCUAGUACCGCAUACGUCCUGAGGGAGAAAGCGGGGGACCGUAAGGCCUCGCGCGAUUGGAGCGGCCGAUGUCGGAUUAGCUAGUUGGUAGGGUAAAGGCCUACCAAGGCGACGAUCCGUAGCGGGUCUGAGAGGAUGAUCCGCCACACUGGGACUGAGACACGGCCCAGACUCCUACGGGAGGCAGCAGUGGGGAAUUUUGGACAAUGGGCGAAAGCCUGAUCCAGCCAUGCCGCGUGAGUGAAGAAGGCC
This 387-nucleotide ribosomal RNA is filed under the name uncultured bacterium. Its description in RNAcentral is "bacterial SSU rRNA". It matches the Rfam family "Bacterial small subunit ribosomal RNA", at positions 29 to 416 of the family's 1533-position model. The record is from RNAcentral.